Molecule: ribosomal RNA, 358 nt
Filed under: Enterococcus faecium
Lineage: Bacteria; Bacillati; Bacillota; Bacilli; Lactobacillales; Enterococcaceae
Description: bacterial SSU rRNA
Rfam family: Bacterial small subunit ribosomal RNA
Source: RNAcentral
UUUUAUGAGAGUUUGAUCCUGGCUCAGGACGAACGCUGGCGGCGUGCCUAAUACAUGCAAGUCGAACGCUUCUUUUUCCACCGGAGCUUGCUCCACCGGAAAAAGAGGAGUGGCGAACGGGUGAGUAACACGUGGGUAACCUGCCCAUCAGAAGGGGAUAACACUUGGAAACAGGUGCUAAUACCGUAUAACAAUCGAAACCGCAUGUUUUUGAUUUGAAAUGCGCUUUCGUGUGUCGCUGCUGGAUUGACCCGCGGUGCAUUAGCUAGUUGGUGAGGUAACGGCUCACCAAGGCCACGAUGCAUAGCCGACCUGGGAGGGUGAUCGGCCACAUUGGGACUGAGACACGGCCCAAACU